UACAGAGACUGCAAGCGUUAUUCGGAUUCACUGGGCGUAAAGGGUGCGCAGGCGGUCGGGUGUGUCAGAUGUGAAAUCCCGAGGCUCAACCUCGGAACUGCGUCUGAAACUACUCGACUAGAGUACUGGAGAGGGUAACGGAAUUCACGGUGUAGUAGUGAAAUGCGUAGAUAUCGUGAGGAACACCAGAGGCGAAGGCGGUUACCUGGACAGUUACUGACGCUCAGGCACGAAAGCAUGGGGAGCAAAAGGG
This 253-nucleotide ribosomal RNA is filed under the name uncultured bacterium. Its description in RNAcentral is "partial 16S ribosomal RNA". It matches the Rfam family "Bacterial small subunit ribosomal RNA", at positions 524 to 776 of the family's 1533-position model. The record is from RNAcentral.